AGAGUUUGAUCAUGGCUCAGAACGAACGCUGGCGCAUGCCUAACACAUGCAAGUCGAACGAGGGCUUCGGCCCUAGUGGCGCACGGGUGAGUAACGCGUGGGAACCUGCCCUGUGGUACGGAAUAACUCCGGGAAACUGGAGCUAAUACCGUAUGCGUCCUUUGGGACAAAGAUUUAUCGCCAUGGGAUGGGCCCGCGUAGGAUUAGCUUGUUGGUGGGGUAACGGCCUACCAAGGCUUCGAUCCUUAGCUGGUCUGAGAGGAUGAUCAGCCACACUGGGACUGAGACACGGCCCAGACUCCUACGGGAGGCAGCAGUGGGGAAUAUUGGACAAUGGGCGCAAGCCUGAUCCAGCAAUGCCGCGUGAGUGAUGAAGGCCUUCGGGUUGUAAAGCUCUUUCGCACGCGACGAUGAUGACGGUAGCGUGAGAAGAAGCCCCGGCUAACUUCGUGCCAGCAGCCGCGGUAAUACGAAGGGGGCUAGCGUUGUUCGGAAUUACUGGGCGUAAAGGGCGCGUAGGCGGUACUUCAAGUCAGGCGUGAAAGCCCCGGGCUCAACCUGGGAACCGCGCUUGAGACUGGAGAACUAGAGUUCGGGAGAGGAUGGUGGAAUUCCCAGUGUAGAGGUGAAAUUCGUAGAUAUUGGGAAGAACACCGAUGGCGAAGGCAGCCAUCUGGACCGACACUGACGCUGAGGCGCGAAAGCGUGGGGAGCAAACAGGAUUAGAUACCCUAGUAGUCC
Molecule: ribosomal RNA, 741 nt
Filed under: uncultured bacterium
Lineage: Bacteria
Description: bacterial SSU rRNA
Rfam family: Bacterial small subunit ribosomal RNA
Source: RNAcentral